UCAUUCUCCACUUUUAAUAAUGGUUCUGACUCUAUUACUCAAAGCUCUGCUUGUGAUCUUGCCCUUCAAUCUUGUUUUCAUCUACUUUAUCAGGGUUAUUUGGCUUGCAAGAAACAAUCUUUAGCAAGGAUUUCAAUUAUGCCAUCCCUCAAAGAGCUAUCUUCUUGGCCGUGGAGUUCUUCGCCCUUACAUGCAAAUUAGGACUUCCCCAACUUACUUUUAUCCCUGUUAAAAGACAUUCCCCCAACAAGGAUGGUUCAAGCUGGUGUUGGGGCUAUCAUUCGCGAUCAUAACGGUAUUUGGGUGAUUGUUUCUCAUAGACCUAUUGGCCAUACUACCAACACGAUUGCUAACCUUCCCUUUGGCUAAAAAAUUCCAAAUAGCCCACCUGGUGAUCCAGCUAACCUUCUCUUAAUCUCCCUUUCUCAUAAAUUUAUGCUUAAUCCUUUGGUCUCUGAUAUGGAGACUGCG
Molecule: long non-coding RNA, 471 nt
Filed under: Gossypium raimondii (Peruvian cotton)
Lineage: Eukaryota; Viridiplantae; Streptophyta; Magnoliopsida; Malvales; Malvaceae
Description: long non-coding RNA (GRAI_LNC009031)
Source: RNAcentral